Molecule: non-coding RNA, 69 nt
Organism: Ictidomys tridecemlineatus (thirteen-lined ground squirrel)
Lineage: Eukaryota; Metazoa; Chordata; Mammalia; Rodentia; Sciuridae
Source: Rfam
GGAGUUGUGGCUCAGCGGUAGAGCACUCGCCUCGCAUGUGUGAGGGCCUGGGUUCAAUCCUUAGCACCA